Molecule: long non-coding RNA, 1027 nt
Filed under: Homo sapiens (human)
Lineage: Eukaryota; Metazoa; Chordata; Mammalia; Primates; Hominidae
Description: HSALNT0309750
Source: RNAcentral
AGAUGGCCAGCAUGCUCUGAGCCAGCGCAGGCCAGGGACCUCUGGGGCUGGGACUGCCCUGGGGCCAGGCAAAGAACCAGUGUUCCUCCACUGCCAGGGAGGACUGCGCAGGGACCUGACUCACGGCAGACACCGACCCCCACGCCAGCAAGUUCACUCUGGUGGCAACGCAGAGAACCUGAAGAUGGCAGACAAGUUAGAGCAGCUGCACCAGUCUUACAGAGGCAGGGAGAGGCCCCGAACCAGAGAGCGGGUGCGGACCCUUGGCAAGUAUGCCUUGGAAGUGUUGAGGGGAGAAGGCGUCAAGUCGUGGUCCCGCCAACAGAGAGGCCUGUCUAACUGACUCAGCAGCCCCUCUGCCUCCAGCUCCCUGUGUCUGGACCCCAGGCCACAGGACGGGGGCAGGAGUGGGACAGGCACCCGGGUUCUGCAUGUAUGGCCUGUGCCACCUUCAAAGCAGCCCUGACGGACCUCCCAACUAGGCCAGAGAUUGCUCCAUUGGUCAUCAGUGCUGUUCCUGAAACGGCUUCACCAGUCAUGGGGACCUAAGUCCCUCUAGCUGGAGAUGAGACACCGAUACACCGCAGACACCAUCUGCUCUCCAGACACAGGCCACUUCCUGGACAUUGCCUGCUGCCUGGACACUGCCCGCUGCCUGGACACUGCCUGCUGCCGGAACACUGCCUGCUGCCUGGACACUACCCGCUGUCUGCUGCCUGGACACUGCUCGCUGCCCAGACAAAGGCCGGCUGCAGAGGCCAGCAGAGCAGCAGAGCCAGGCGAGGCAAGACGGCAGAGGGAGGCCAGGGGGAAUGACAACAGGCUCCAGGGUGAAGCCACCACCAAGUGAUCAGGAUCAAUAACUGUGGUCCACAGAAAGUGCGGAUCCCACCUCUCGGGAGCAUCUCAUCCCUUCCACUCCUGCGGAAGAGGACAGCACCCCCCAACCCCAAAGUGCCUGUGUUUCCUAGCACCCUGGGAUUCCAGCUCGUCAGCUAAGAACUGGCCAUGCUGAUGAAAUCUCCUU